Molecule: ribosomal RNA, 409 nt
Filed under: uncultured bacterium
Lineage: Bacteria
Description: bacterial SSU rRNA
Rfam family: Bacterial small subunit ribosomal RNA
Source: RNAcentral
GGGGAAUAUUGCACAAUGGGCGCAAGCCUGAUGCAGCGACGCCGCGUGGGGGAUGACGGCCUUCGGGUUGUAAACCUCUUUCGUCAGGGAAGAAGCCUUUUGGGGUGACGGUACCUGGAGAAGAAGCACCGGCUAACUACGUGCCAGCAGCCGCGGUAAUACGUAGGGUGCGAGCGUUGUCCGGAAUUAUUGGGCGUAAAGAGCUUGUAGGCGGUUUGUCGCGUCUGCGGUGAAAGCCCGGGGCUUAACCUUGGGCGUGCCGUGGGUACGGGCAGGCUAGAGUGUGGUAGGGGAGACUGGAAUUCCUGGUGUAGCGGUGAAAUGCGCAGAUAUCAGGAGGAACACCGAUGGCGAAGGCAGGUCUCUGGGCCAUAACUGACGCUGAGAAGCGAAAGCAUGGGGAGCGAAC